AAAAUUAAAGACUUUAAACAUAUCCGUUACUUAAAAAAAAAGCUAUAAUAAAAUAUAACGAGUUUAGUUUUAUUUUAAUACAUAAUUAAAGUAGAGUAUAUGUUUUUUGUAGUGAAAAAUAAAUAAAUAAUUAAUUAAUUGAAUAUAAAAUGUGGGUUUAAGAAUAUAGUUGAAACAUAAUAACUUAAAUAGAAAGAGAAAGAAUACUUUGCACGGUUUUUACUUUUGACACGUUAUGGACCACAAUUUUCUGGAAUCUUUUUAAGGGUAAUUUGGGAAUUUCACAAAGGCAGUGGCUCCUUUAAAAAACAAUCCUUUCUUAGCAGUAAAGGUAGUAGUUCCAUGCACUGAUUCUCUGAAACGCAACACCCUUUCUCUCUCUUGUUCCACAAACCCUAAAUUAAACACAAAAUCCCCUUCUCUUUGGUGCUCCAGAAACCCUAAAUCAAAAAGAGUGCGAGAUUGGUGUGGUGCACGAAGGCAAGAACUCGAAAACGAUUAUAGUGUGGUGAAAUUUGAGUAUCGUUUAUCGUAUUAAUGUGAGUGCGAUGAAUCCCUUUUUUUCUUUCAUAUUAUGUUUUGUUGUUUAAGUUAAACAGUGUAUUCAAUCUUUUUUAUUCUUUUGGAUGAGUCCUUUCAUACGAUGGGAAUAACUUGGUUUCUUCCUGUUGCUUUUGUUCCUGUAUAUAUUUUUGUGUAGACUAUGGAUCAUAAUAUUUUAAUGCUACAACAUUUUCUUUGUCUCCCUUGAUCCAUUUGUUCAAGGUGAUAUAGUUGUGUAUUUAGUUCAAGGUAACAUGGGUGUAUUCUGUUUGAGUGAUUUUGGGACUGGUUAGAGGAUUGAUAGUUGUGUGAGCCAAUUGUGGGUUGUGAGAUACUCAGAGGGCUAUUCUUGAUUUCAUAUUAUAGCUUGCAUAAAUAAAUUAUCUUUAUUCUGACAUUCACAUUGGCCUUCACUUGCCUCACUGCCUUCCAUUUAAGCGACAACAUGAUUUUAAAUCAAAUGGGGUGGGAAGAUGGUGAUCUUGAAAAAUUGAUUCAUAAUUCCUUUUUUUAG
RNAcentral lists this long non-coding RNA (1057 nucleotides) under Vigna radiata. Its description in RNAcentral is "long non-coding RNA (VRAD_LNC017742)". Lineage: Eukaryota; Viridiplantae; Streptophyta; Magnoliopsida; Fabales; Fabaceae. The record is from RNAcentral.